Molecule: transfer RNA, 445 nt
Filed under: Acer griseum
Lineage: Eukaryota; Viridiplantae; Streptophyta; Magnoliopsida; Sapindales; Sapindaceae
Description: partial transfer RNA-Leu
Rfam family: tRNA (bases 398-445)
Source: RNAcentral
AAAAUCCGUCGACUUUAGAAAUCGUGAGGGUUCAAGUCCCUCUAUCCCCCCAAAAAGACCGAUUUGACUAUUUCUCCUACCCUCUCUUUUUUUUAGUGGUUCAAAAUUCGUUCUCUUUCUCAUUCAUUCUACCUUUUUACAAACGUAUCAGAGCAGAAUUUUUUUUUUCUUUUAUCACAAUCACAAGUGGUGUGGUAUAUAUGAUAUACGUACAAAUGAACAUCUUUGAACAAAGAAUCCCGAUUCACAAUUCAUAUCAUUGCUCAUACUGAAACUUAUAAAUUAUUCUAUUCAAGAGAUCGAAUUCCACGCUCAAGACUUUUAAUACUUUUUUUAUCUUUUUUAAUUGACAUAGACCCCAGUCAUCUAGUAAAAUGAGGAUGAUGCGCCGGUAAUGGUCGGGAUAGCUCAGCUGGUAGAGCAGAGGACUGAAAAUCCUCGUGUC